GGGAGUAACAUGAAUACCCACGUACUCUCCACCUAGAUUUAAUAAUCAGAAUAAAUAAUCUGUGUAGGCCUUUAUUUUUUACAAACCCUCUUGUUUAACGUUACCGCAUUCCAAAUGAAACUCAUUGGUGAGUGGUGUGGGGAUCUAUUCAGAUCCCCAUGACUGCAGCCCUUAAGCAGAGGUAAGGCCACCUGCCACACCCUACUUCCUCUCCCUCCGUUUCCAUCCUGCUCAGGAGGUGCCGUCAGAAAGAUCAGUUACAAAUAUGGUUAUCUGUGCGUAGGGGCCUGGGCAGCAAAUCUCAUUAAUCUGGGCUGGGAUAGGCAGGUGGGUUGGUCCAAAUUAAGGAGAUCCUACAGAAACUCUUAGCUGCCUGCAGGAUUCAACACGAACUCCUUAAGGUAGCAACAAGGGCCCUUUGUAAAAUCUGGCCAGAAACAGGUGUCCUAGAUGCUUCUUCACACCCCUCAGUAUACAAUGUAUCCAUAUCAUGUCAGCCUGGCUUUCAAAAUUACCCAGAAUCUGACCCUUCUGCCUCCACACUGGCUCAGGGCCCUGCAGUCAUUUUCCUGCGUUUUGACAAUAGAUUGCUUUCUCCUGUUUUCACCUUUCUCCUCUUUUGUCUCUUAUGGAAGCCAGAGCCCCUCCCCUCCCCGGAAACAAGAUUCUCGCUCUUUCACCCAGGCCGGAGUGCAGUGGUGCGAUCACGGGUCACUGCAACCUCCGCCUCGAAGGUUCAAGUGAUUCUCCUGCCUCGGCCUCCCGAGUAGCUGGGACUACAGGCGCAUCGCCGCCACACUCAACAAAUUUUUGUAUCUUCAGUAGAGACGGGGUUUCACCAUGUUGGCCAGGCUGAUCUUGAACUUCUGACCUCAGGUGAUCCACGUGCCUCAGCUUCCCAAAGUGCUGGAUCACACGUGUGAGCCACCGCGUCCGGCCCAGGGUGUUUUUUUAAAGCGUAACUCCAAUCAUGUCACUGCUUUACUCAAACUCUCCAGUGUCCCCUCAUCUCAGAGUAAGAGCCAAGUCCUUGGUGUGUCCUGGGAGCCCUCCUACUUGAUAGGCGACCCCAGUUCCCUCUCUAACCCCUCCAUCCACUCCUCUCUGCUUCUGCUCCAGCCACCACUCUUCUUCAAACACUAAGCACAAAGUUACCCCUUUUGCACUCUGUAAAUAGGCAAAGACUGCUCAUCCUCAAAAUGAAUACCUGGCUUACUCCUUUUCCUUUGGGUCUCUGUUCAAGCACAAAAGCCUUCUUCAAGUGCCCUAUUAAAAUGUGAAACCGGCCGGGCGCGGUGGCUCAAGCCUGUAAUCCCAGCACUUUGGGAGGCCGAGACGGGCGGAUCACGAGGUCAGGAGAUCGAAACCAUCCUGGCUAACACGGUGAAACCCCGUCUCUAUUAAGAAAUACAAAAAACUAGCCGGGCGAGGUGGCGGGCGCCUGUAGUCCCAGCUACUCGGGAGGCUGAGGCCGGAGAAUGGCGUGAACCUGGGAGGCGGAGCUUGCAGUGAGCUGAGAUCCGGCCACUGCACUCCAGCCUGGGCAACAAAGCGAGACUCCGUCUCAAAAAAAAAAAAAA
Macaca fascicularis (crab-eating macaque) is the source of this 1580-nucleotide long non-coding RNA. NCBI's taxonomy places the organism in Eukaryota, Metazoa, Chordata, Mammalia, Primates, Cercopithecidae. The record is from Ensembl.